RNAcentral lists this small RNA (209 nucleotides) under Cellulomonas timonensis. Its description in RNAcentral is "Actinobacteria sRNA Ms_IGR-5". The stretch from base 1 to 175 matches the Rfam family "Actinobacteria sRNA Ms_IGR-5". Lineage: Bacteria; Bacillati; Actinomycetota; Actinomycetes; Micrococcales; Cellulomonadaceae. The record is from RNAcentral.
ACACGGGAGAGGAGGUGGUCCUGAAGUGAAUUCUCUUCGGACGCGUGAGGUGACUGUCCGCUAGUCGCCCGAUCAGUCGGACGGAUUGCUGAUCCGCCCGCUGGCCUGCCGGUCCACCCGGCUGGGCGGCGAGCGAAUCUCCGGCAGUCACCGCAGCCCGUGGGAGCCGCGACCUCGUCCUUCGCGGCAGGGCCCCUGUCAGGGGUCCA